AAAAAAAGUCGAUCUCAAACACACCCCCACGAUCCCCACCGGCCCAUCCCCUCCCGAUCCCCACCUUGCCCACAGCGCUGCCGGUUCCUGAUCCGCCGACCACCAUCGUGUGCUGCCGGCCACCGGAGCCGCUGCCCACACCCACGCCCAUUGCCAUCUGCUGGUCGCCGCCGUCCCUAGAUCCCCUUGCGCCGCCGGGCUGUGGAUCCCCGAACGCCGCCGCCAGGCCGUGGAGCCCCGCGCGCCGCCGCGGACCUCCACAUCCAUCCUCCGCCAUGGAUCCCAGGUUCCCCGCCGCCCCUAUCUGCCACCGCCGUGGCCCCCUGCUUCCGGGCGCACCAUCCACCGCCGCCAUUGUCAUGCGUCGCUGCCGCCCGAUAUGAUGAGGCGCCGCCGCCUCCCAAGCCACUGCCUAGCUCCAGCAUCUCCACGCGUCCACGCCACCAGACGGUAAGGGAGACCCGAUCGGCCGGCCGCAUUGUGCUGUCCCUUCUACGACCCUGCCUCCACAGGGCUCCACCGGGAGCAACUUCCCUGAACUUCCCGACGUGGCUGCAUCACUUCUGAGACCCCGCGCGCUUGACUUUCCCCAACCUCGUCCAUCCUGCCUCCGUUGUACCCUAUUUUUUUGCAAGGGACGCUCUCCCCUAUUAGCUGAAGUUCUCGCGAGGGCCGCCUUGACCUUUUCUGGGACGGUUAGAGCAUACGGCAACCACAAAAAUCGUCAUCAACUGAGAGAUGGAGCACCUAAUUUUCCAGUUCCUGGUUAACCGGGGUGUAGCUUCACCGUCAGACAUAUCCAUGGAUAUCACCAAGCUAACUCAGACGCUUGGUAUCCAGCCGAUUACAUUCCUGGAUGGAGUCAGAGCUACACUUGAUGCAGAAGCCACUACAUGAUAUUCAUAAACUGUUUGUUCAAGUUCCUCCACAAAAUAUUGAAGUGUGACACAAAGGACCCCCUUUCUUUUACCUGACAAAGAACCCGUAUUAGCUUGCCGAAAUUGCAGCAGAGAUAGAUUUUGUUGGAUCUGUAUGUGUGAAAGAUGUAACUUUGCUACCAUCGAACGACUUGCCCUUGGUUUUACUGUCUGUACCAUUCUGAAUAAAAAUGGCGUCCAUGUGUGUUCUUCAGAA
This is a long non-coding RNA of Triticum dicoccoides, 1134 nucleotides long. RefSeq lists it as uncharacterized. The transcript has 2 exons. Lineage: Eukaryota; Viridiplantae; Streptophyta; Magnoliopsida; Poales; Poaceae. The record is from RefSeq and is a predicted model, not a curated record.